GAUGAACGCUGGCGGCGUGCCUAAUACAUGCAAGUCGAGCGAACGGACAAGAAGCUUGCUUCUCUGAGGUUAGCGGCGGACGGAUGAGUAACACGUGGAUAACCUACUUAUAAGACUGGGAUAACUUCGGGAAACCGGAGCUAAUACCGGAUGAUAUUUUGAACGGCAUGGUUCAAAAGUGAAAGAGGGUUUUGCUGUCACUUAUAGAUGGAGCCGCGUUGGAUUAGCUAGUUGGUAAGGUAACGGCUCACCAAGGCAACGAUGCGUAGCCGACCUGAGAGGAUGAUCAGCCACACUGGAACUGAGACACGGUCCAGACUCCUACGGGAGGCAGCAGUAGGGAAUAUUCGACAAUGGGCGAAAGCCUGAUCGAGCCAUACCGCGUGGGUGAUGAAGGUCUUCGGAUCGUAAAGCUCUUUUGUUGGGAAAGAAAAUCUGCGUAAUUAUCCCCCGCCGUUCUGACGGUACCCAAAGAGUAAGCCCCGGCUAACUUCGUG
This 497-nucleotide ribosomal RNA is filed under the name uncultured bacterium. Its description in RNAcentral is "partial 16S ribosomal RNA". It matches the Rfam family "Bacterial small subunit ribosomal RNA", at positions 28 to 507 of the family's 1533-position model. The record is from RNAcentral.